GAUCUACAGAAAUGUAUAUAAUAACACCGGCUACACCAAAAAAAAGUUUCGGUAUACAAAAAUUCUUUAAAUCUUAGACCCUCUUAUAUAACCUUAAAGGACUUCUCAAAAAAAUCAAGAAAAAGCUAGUAUAAACAAUAUUCUUAUUAUUCUUAUAUAUAUAUAUAUAUAUACACACAAAAUUUACUGCUCGUUGCUUCUUUUGUGCUACACAUAAGAACUACUUUGCUUCAAGUUGACAUAUUUUUUUUAUAUGUAAUACAUUCUUCUUAAUACAAGAAAAAAGCAAUUAGAAUAAUAUGUCAAAUUUGCGAUAAAUGUUUCACUUUAUUGAAAGAAGAAUAUGUUUGCCAUAAAAUAUUUAGCUUAGAAUAUGAGAUUAUGGGAAAAAUAAUUUAAACGCAAAAUUUGUUUUUGGCCUCGGUCGUCAGAUGAGUGUAAGCAUAUACUGCAUUACUGUAACACUCGAAUUAUAAUAUUGUAGAAUUAAAAAUUUAUAGAUCUAGUAAUUUAGAUUAAUUUUUUUAUCAAAGUAAUUUAUAACUUUAUAUUUUAAUAUUUACUUUUUAAACUAUUCAAAAAAUAUAUAGAAGUUUUUAUUUAAAAGUUUAGAUAUAUAAAUUAAAAAAAUAUAAGCUUAAGAUUUGGGAGAACCUGCAACAAUGUUUAAUAACAUUAAAUUAAAUUAAAUUUCUCCGAUAAAAGGGGUAAUCGGCAUCUGAUUUUUAAUUAAAAAUAAAUAUUAAUUAUAUUGAAAUUUAUUAUUCCAAAACUUUUGUUUAACAGUAGAGCUACCUUAAAUGUUAUAUUUUACUUUUAAUUUAUUAUUAUAUUAAAUAAAUUCAGGAUUGGGAAAGUUACUUCGUAAAAGUAACUAGUUAUAGUUACAAUUACAGUUUUUCAUUAAAAAAGUAACUAGUUACAGUUAUCGAUUUUGAAAAAUAACUCGUUACAGUUACAGUUUUUAAUAAAAUUAAGAGACGUUACUUUUCAGUUAAUUUUUUAUUAAAUAGUUGUACAUUAUUUUAAAUAUAAGAAAUAAUAAUCUUAUAUUUUAUGUUUUGCUAACUGUUGUAUAUUUUAUAUUUAAUUAUAUGCUUUAACGCAUUAUUUUAUGUACACUAAAUGAGAACUUUAUAAAGGUAAAAGACUAAAUUAUAUGUUACUGUUAUCACAAUUUAAUUAAAUAUAACGCUACGUCAGCUAUCAUACAUUGAUUCAUAUAUUCCCUUUAGUGCAAAAUUUUAAUAAAAAUUUUUAUUAAUUUUAUAGAAUUUUGAAUUCAAAUAUAUCACAUAAUUAAGAUGACCUCUUUGUGACGUCAUUAUAUAUAGAGUCACCGAUGCUAAACAUGUUUCGCAGAUGCAGAACUUAAAAUAUCUGUUAUAUUUAAUAAAAAGUUUCUUAGUUGUAUUGUAAUUAUUUAGCAUAUUAAUACUGCAAUUUGAUUUUAGGAAUCGAAACAUUUCCUCUUGUGUAGACUCGAGUUUCUCCGGUUGUUGAUUAAAAAUUUUAGUGCAUGUUUUACAAAAAGUAACUAUUAAAGUAACUAUCAAAAUAGUUAUUAGUUACCAAAGAAAUGUAAAUGUAACUGUAACUUCGUUACAAGUAACUCGGAUUUCCCAAUCCUGGAAAAAUUGUUAUAUUAAUAAUAUAAUAUUUACAUAUUUGUAUCUUUAUUUAUCAGAUGUAUCACAAACAUUUAAUGAUAUAAGUGAAACUUUUACUAAUACUUCAAUAGAAAAGAAGAAAAAUAAGAUUAAGAAAAAAGAACAAAAAGUGAAGCAAAAACUAAUUAUACAAAAUAAAAAAAGAAAACGAAAGAAUACAAUAAAAAAUAUACAAAAUGUACAAAAAUUGAAUAAAAGUAAAGGUAAAUCUUGUUUAUGCUUAUCUUCUUACUGGUUUUUUUUGUUUAAUAUUUAUUAUUCCAAAAAGUUAUGUACAUCUGUAACAUUUACAUAAACUUAAAGCAGGAAAGAAACAAAUUUCACCGAAGAAACAAAAUGUUUAUUCCAAAAAUAAAGGUUUAAUUUAUCGAAAAUAUUCAGAUAGUGAUUUAUCAGAUUAUAUAUUAAAUACAAGUUUAAGCAGCUCUAGUGAGAGUACAAUCAAUGUGCCAAAAAAA
This 2128-nucleotide long non-coding RNA is filed under the name Monomorium pharaonis (pharaoh ant). RNAcentral describes it as "uncharacterized LOC118647372". Lineage: Eukaryota; Metazoa; Arthropoda; Insecta; Hymenoptera; Formicidae. The record is from RNAcentral.